GCCUGGGUGGCUCAGUUGGUUAAGUGUCUGACUUUGGCUCAGGUCAUGAUCUUGCAGUUCGUGGGUUUGAGCCCCGCUUUGGGCU
RNAcentral lists this transfer RNA (85 nucleotides) under Felis catus (domestic cat). It matches the Rfam family "tRNA". Rfam says of the family: Transfer RNA (tRNA) molecules are approximately 80 nucleotides in length. The record is from Rfam by way of RNAcentral. Lineage: Eukaryota; Metazoa; Chordata; Mammalia; Carnivora; Felidae. RNAcentral also lists the same sequence under 1 other name.